CAGGGACAUGGAUGAAGCUGGAAACCAUCAUUCUCAGCAAACUAACACAGGAACAGAAAACCAAACACCGCAUGUUCUCACUUAUGAGGACAGCUCUGUGCCAGAGAAUGAGCUGGGAUCUGCCCUGACAAGUGGAGCCUCGUUUGAAAGUGUCGGUAACAGGCUCUGUGUCUGAACCAAAGUUUCCCUUGCAACCUGGUGUGGCUGCAUGAUGGAGUUUGGGCCGUGACAUAUGGUAG
Molecule: long non-coding RNA, 239 nt
Organism: Pan troglodytes (chimpanzee)
Lineage: Eukaryota; Metazoa; Chordata; Mammalia; Primates; Hominidae
Exons: 3
Source: RefSeq, a predicted model, not a curated record